Molecule: ribosomal RNA, 497 nt
Filed under: uncultured bacterium
Lineage: Bacteria
Description: partial 16S ribosomal RNA
Rfam family: Bacterial small subunit ribosomal RNA
Source: RNAcentral
GAUGAACGCUGGCGGCGUGCCUAAUACAUGCAAGUCGAGCGAACAGACGAGGAGCUUGCUCCUCUGACGUUAGCGGCGGACGUGUGAGUAACACGUGUAUCACCUACCUGUAAGACUGGGAUAACUUCGGGAAACCGGAGCUUAUACCGGAUAAUAUAUUGCACCGUGUUGUUCAAUAGAGAAAGUCGGUUUUGCUGUCUCUUAUAGAUGCAUCCCCGCCGCAUUAGCUAGUUGGUAGGUUAACGGCUUACCAAGGCAACGAUGCGUAGCCGACGUGAGAGGGUGGUCGGCCACACUGGAGCGGAGACACGGUCCAGACGCCUACGGGAGGCAGCAGUCGGGAAUCUUCGGCAAUGGGCGAAAGCUUGACGGAGCAACGCCGCGCGAGUGAUGAAGGUCUUCGGAUCGGAAAGCUCUGUUAUGAGGGAAGAAACAAUGUGUAAGUAACUAUGCACGUCUUGACGGUACCUAAUCAGAAAGCCCCGGCUAACUACGUG